GUAAAACAUUAUUAGUAAAGAGCAAGUCAGAGGGAGUGUAGAAAAUGUCGGUCAUAACUGGGAAGUGCCACGUAAUACUUAUGCGUAUGAGAUAAUGCAAGAUCUUAUUUCAACCGGGUGAUAUCUGUCUCAAAGGUACCAAUGUCCCAAAAUGUCCUGAUGAUUGUCAAUUUCAGAGAAGCCGGCGUGCAGUGUGUAUUAUUUUUAUACGUUUUUAGUAGAGUAUACAUAUACAAUAUAUAUAUUUAAAAAAAGUUCUCAUUAAAUAAGGAAUGUGGCCAAUAGAAGCAUGGCCGGAACUUUGAAUCCCAAACGCAAAGUUUUCGGGAAAAACCCAGAUAUAACGUUUGAAUUUCCAGGCAAUGGUGUGGAAAAUGCAGCACUUUUGCGUACAGAAAAGAAACACCUCAUAAAUAUAAGUGAGGUGUUUGAGAAGCAGUUUCUCAGUGAGCUAAAUGGAGAAAAUGAGAAAAUUGUAAUCAAAGAUAUAUCAUUUGAUACAUUUAGUAGGAUGAUCGAGUUCAGUUAUAAUAGUUACAUCAAAAUAAAUGAGGAAAAUUAUUUGGAAAUGCUUUACGCUGCAAAGAAAUACUUUUAUUACGAUCUGCUUAACAAAAUUGCAAUUUUCCUUCUACAAUUCAUAACAGUAGAUAAUCUGGCUGAUCAUUUUGAACUCAUAGAAAAGUUUGAACUAAAAAGCGUCAUUGAUCACAUUACAAAAAUUUGCAUAAAAGAUCCACUAAAAGUUAUUUCACAGCUAAGUUUCGCAGAAGCUCACAUGCGCAUCCUGAAGACAAUCCUCGAGUCCCCAUGUCUACCUUGCACAGAAUAUGUUCUCUAUGAUGCUAUAAUUAAAAUGAUGAAACUUCAGCUGAAAGAUGAACCGAAGAAAAUGCAUAGUCAAAUUAUGAGAAAGAAACUUGGGCCAUUGAUGUGCUUGAUAAGAUUUCCCACAAUGUCAGUUGAUGAGUUGCUUCAGUGUGCAAAGUCACCAACUCCAUUGAAGGCAACAGAGUUCCUGGACUUUAUUCUAUGGUCAUAUGAUAAAACUUCCUCCGAGCUGUUGCUUCAUUAUUCAUUAGCAUCAAGAAUCCACUUGUGAUUCUCAAAUUUGAUAAGGAACUCGAAGAAAACUUGCAUUUGUGACGCAGAGGCCCUUGGUUUAAUUCCGAUAGAAGUGCGUUAAGUGAAGAUUGGAAAAAUAAUUGCAGCCUAAAAAUUACAAAAGUAAAGCAAUAUUUUAGAGUUUAAUAAACCAAUGGAAAAGUGGUAAAAAGAAAAGCAAAUAGCUACAUUUUAAUAAUUUUAACAAUGUUACCUAAUCAAACUACAGCAACAGCUUCCUGAACAUUUACUGCCGAAUUAUUAUUUUUAUAAGAAUAGGAUUCUAAUUGUUCAGUGGUUUGUGCGUAAAUGUUAGUUAUGGCAUUUUCAAAAUUUUGAAGAAAUUUAGAAAGCACAAAAAAUCAAGAUUUUAUGGAGGAGAUGAUAUUAAUUUAAACAAGAAAAAAUAAUAAUAUUUUAAACCUGCUUGAUUGGAACUCCAAAGCUGAUCUCUUUUACAUUCAAUAUGAUGGUGAAAAUUUUCUUUUUAAUUUGUAUUUUCGAGUAAAUACAGAGAAUUAUCUUUAUAUUAUUAUUUGCAAUUUCAAUAAUAACCAGAAGAAAAUAAGUGAGAUUGAUUAUAAUUGAUAAAGUUAUGAAUCUUAAAUAUAAACAAAUUUAACUCGCUUCAUAAUUUCAUGAGAAAUAUUGAGCUGCUGGGGCCGCUGGGGCUGUUAGUUAAGAAAUUGGUUAAUAAUCAGACUUGUGUAUUGUAAAUGGUAAAUUAAAAAAAAAACUUGUUCUUCCUUAAACAAAUGAUUUAUAGUAGUUAUAUAAUAAUCCAAAAUGUACAAGAGCACUUUAGAAUAAUAAAUCUUUGAAGUACUCGAAAAA
This is a long non-coding RNA of Phlebotomus papatasi, 1938 nucleotides long. RefSeq lists it as uncharacterized. The transcript is spliced from 2 exons. The record is from RefSeq and is a predicted model, not a curated record. Lineage: Eukaryota; Metazoa; Arthropoda; Insecta; Diptera; Psychodidae.